This 1440-nucleotide ribosomal RNA is filed under the name uncultured organism. Its description in RNAcentral is "partial small subunit ribosomal RNA". It matches the Rfam family "Bacterial small subunit ribosomal RNA". The record is from RNAcentral.
CUUAACACAUGCAAGUCGAGCGAAGCACUUUUGCUUAUUUCUUCGGAUUGAAGCGGCUGUGACUGAGCGGCGGACGGGUGAGUAACCGCGCGUGGUAACCUGCCUCAUACUGGGGGAUAACAGUAUGGAAACGGAUGCUAAUACCGCAUAUUCGCACAGGACCGCAUGGUACGGUGUGAAAAACUCCAGAGGUAUGAGAUGGACCCGCGUCUGAUUAGGUAGUUGGUGGGGUAACGGACUACCAAGCCGACGAUCACAGACAACCUGACAGGGUGACCGGCACACUUUGGGACUGACACACUGCCCAAACUCCUACGGGAGGCAGCAUAUGGGGAAUAUUGACACAAUGGGGGAAACCCUGAUGCAGCGACGCCGACGAGAGCGAUGAAGUAUUUCGGUAUGCUUAGCUCUAUCAACAAGGAAGAAAAUGACGGUACCUGACUAAGAACCCCCGGCUAACUACUUGCCAACAUCCGCGGCAAUACGCACGAUCCGAGCGAUAUCCCGAUUUAUUGCCUUAAAAGGGAGCGCAAAUGGGACGUUAAGUCAAUUGUGAAAGUUUGCGGCUCAACCGGAAAAUUGCAAUUGAUACUGGCAGUCUUGAGUACAGUUGAUGUAGGCGGAAUUCGUGGUGUAGCGUUGAAAUGCUUAGAUAUCACGAAUAACUCCGAUUGCGAACGCAGCUUACUAACCUGUAACUGACAUUGAUGCUUGAAAGUGUGGGUAUCAUACAGGAUUAGAUACUCUGGUAGUCCUCCCCGUAAUCGAUGAAUACUCGUUGUAGUCGAUAUACAGUCUGAGGCCAAGAGAAAGCAUUAAGUAUUCCUCCUGGGGAGUACUCCGGCAACGGUGAAACUCAAAGGAAUAGUCGGGGGGGCGCACAAGCGGAGGAACAUGUGGUUUAAUUAGAUAAUACGCGAGGAGCAUUAUCCGGGCUUAAAUUGCAACAGAAUAUGGCGGAAGCGAUAUAUCUAGCAAUAGCGGUUGUGAAGGUGCUGCAUGGUUGUUGUCAGCUUGUGCCGUGAGGUGUUGGGUUAAGUGCCAUAACGAGCGCAACCCUUGCCGAUAGUUACUAACAGGUCAUGGUGAGGACUUUGUCGGGACUGCCAUUGUAAGAUGUGAGGAAGGUGGGGAUGACGUCAAAUUAGCCCGGCCCUUACGUUCGGGGCUACCCACGUGUUACAAUGGGGGGGUACAGAGGGCUGCUACCACGCAAGUGGAUGCCAAUCCCAAAAACCUCUCUCAGUUCGGAUUGAAGUCUGCAACCCGACUUCAUGAAGCUGGAUUCGCUAGUAAUCGCGCAUCAGCCACGGCGCGGUGAAUACGUUCCCGGGCCUUGUACACACCGCCCGUCAAGCCAUGGGAGCCGGGGGUACCUGAAGUGCGUAACCGCAAGGAGCGCCCUAGGGUAAAACUGGUGACUGGGGCUAAGUCAUAACA